Prionailurus viverrinus (fishing cat) is the source of this 1181-nucleotide RNA transcript. It is a transcript of the gene named serine protease 55, with no coding region annotated. NCBI's taxonomy places the organism in Eukaryota, Metazoa, Chordata, Mammalia, Carnivora, Felidae. The transcript has 8 exons. The record is from RefSeq and is a predicted model, not a curated record.
CAGCAUCAUUUCCCUCAGCCCUGGCCUCCAUCACCUCCAAUGCCAACAUCAAAGUCAAGGGCCAUGCUUCUGUUAUCAAUUCUGCUGCUCAUGUCCCAAGCCAAGGGCAUACAUCUCGAAUGUGGUAAAAGACCCAUUUUUGAAGAAGGAACUCAGUAUUCCAGAAUCAUAGGGGGGAUGGAGGCUGAGGUGGGUGAGUUCCCAUGGCAGGUGAGUAUUCAGGCAAGAAACGAACAUUUCUGUGGUGGCGCAAUCAUCAACGAGUGGUGGAUUGUCACUGCUGCUCACUGCUUAUUUUAUGAAGAGCUAUCUCCAAUGGACUUGAGUGUUGUGUUGGGAACAAAUGACUUAAGAAGCCCAUCCUUGGAAAUAAAGAGGGUUACCAGCAUAAUUCUUCACAAGGACUUUCAAAGAGUCAACAUGGACAAUGACAUCGCCUUGCUGCUGUUGGCCUUGCCCAUCACUUUCAGCGGUUUGAAAGAGCCCAUCUGCCUGCCCAGGAAGCUCAGCCCCUCCAUGUGGCACAAAUGCUGGGUGGCAGGAUGGGGUCAGACCAACACUGAUGACAAAAACUCUAUGAAAACUGAUCUGAUGAAAGUGCCAAUGAUCAUCAUGGAUUGGAAGAAAUGUUCAAAGGCAUUUCCGAGACUUACCAAGAAUAUGCUGUGUGCUGGAUAUGAGAAUGAGAGCUUUGAUGCUUGCCAGGGUGACAGUGGGGGGCCUCUGGUGUGCACCACAAAAUCUGACAAGAACUGGUACCAGGAAUGAAGAUUUACCACCAGGUAGAGAACCAUGGCCAGCUGAAGUUCUUGCUGAUGGCAAAGGAACUACAGAAUGGAUAGUGGAAGAAGAUUGAAGAAACCAAGCUGAAAAAGGUAGAGUGACUUGCCCAACGUCAUGCAGGUAAGAGGUGGUAAAGCUAGUAUUCACACGCAGACAGUCUGAUCUAAAUGGAGGCAGAUUUAACUACGGGGCCACACAGCUUCUGGACACUGUUCAAGGCAAUAUAUAUAAUACCUGACUAUAGGCUUUUUUACAACAACGUUCAACCAACAUUUGAUUAGAACAUAUGAAGUGCCAAUAUUUCCCAAAAAAAGAGACAGACAAGAUCCCUGCCCUGAUUCAAGAGCUACUCACCAUCCACCAUUGAAGCUUUUAGUAACCUGAAAAAAAGGGGCUGC